AUUGAACGCUGGCGGCAGGCCUAACACAUGCAAGUCGAACGAGUGGCGGACGGGUGAGUAAUGUCUGGGGAACUGCCUGAUGGAGGGGGAUAACUACUGGACACGGUAGCUAAUACCGCAUACCAUCGGAUGUGCCCAGAUGGGAUUAGCUAGUAGGUGGGGUAACGGCUCACCUAGGCGACGAUCCCUAGCUGGUCUGAGAGGAUGACCAGCCACACGUGAACUGAGACAAGGUACAGACUCCGACGGUAGGCAGCAGUGGGGAAUAUUGCACAAUGGGCGGAAGCCGGAUGCAGCCAUGCCGCGUGUAUGAAGAAGGCCGUCGGGUUGUAAAGUACUUUCAGCGGGGGGGCGUUACCCGCAGAAGAAGCACCGGCUAACUCCGUGCCAGCAGCCGCGGUAAUAC
Molecule: ribosomal RNA, 406 nt
Filed under: uncultured bacterium
Lineage: Bacteria
Description: partial 16S ribosomal RNA
Rfam family: Bacterial small subunit ribosomal RNA
Source: RNAcentral